This is a long non-coding RNA of Planococcus citri (citrus mealybug), 3314 nucleotides long. RefSeq lists it as uncharacterized. The transcript has 3 exons. The record is from RefSeq and is a predicted model, not a curated record. Lineage: Eukaryota; Metazoa; Arthropoda; Insecta; Hemiptera; Pseudococcidae.
GGGUUAUUAUACAUAAAGCAAUCAAUACGUAUCUAAUUUUCUUGUUCCAACUGCUCAAACCGUUGAUCAUCAUAAGUCGACUUUUUUUUUAAUCUGUCAAAUGUAGUGUAGAGUGAACUGAAAUCGGGUGUAAUGCUAAUAAAAUGAAAUUCUGAUUUUUUAAAGUACCUUGAAAACGAAUUUUAAAAUUAUCUGAGUUGCGUCGAAUUGUUGGAAAUGUCACGCCAUGCCUUUGAACAGGUUUCCAGAAAUUAACUUUGUAGCAAGUAUUCAUCCAUUUUGAAUAAAAUAAUUUCCAAAUAUCUGCUCAGCCAAUUCUGAAUUCUGAGAACAUAAAGCGACAAUUUUUUUUCCAUUGUCUUUUACAAAGGACCCAUUUUCGUAAUUCGUUGUCGCUAUCUGGGCUCAAUCUCCACUUCACAUCCUUAUGAGUUUCAUAUUCAUAAUUCCAUUCCUCUAUCAUCAACUUGAAUUAUUGGAUCAUUACGCAUUUGUGUCGCAUUUUGUGCUUCCUGCUCGUUUGAUAUUCAUAAAGACUUCAGAAUGGACCAUGAAAAUAGACACGUUGGAAUCGACUUCCAGCAUUGGCGUGUUUGGAUACAAUGUUUUCAGCAACUGUUGAGAAGUAGAGGAGCAAGAAAUCCUAUCAAUUCUUAUGCAUCAGAAAAACUAUAGAGCUGCACUCAUCGCACAGAUUCCCGAAUCAGAAUCGACGCUCUUCAAAGUCUUAUGUUUCUUGCCUCCCUCUGAAUGACUCGAUUUUGGUGCAGUGGCAUGCUUUCUAUACAAAGUUUAAACCAUAUUGACAAAACACGCGUGUCUUUCUAUCACAUAUACGAUUGAACAUCAUCGUCGUCAUCUCAAACGCUUUCACGAGAAGAAAUGCUUCCUUUGAAAAUCUUCCAGCCGCGAAAACGCGAAUAAAAUUUCAUUCACGCUCGAAUGUUCAAAAAUAAAGCAAUAAAUUUUCGCCGACGAGUUUGGUUUAAUUAUAUAUAUUUUUUACAAUUUAUAAUGCUAACGAUGUUGAGGUUAUUAUUUGUAUUUCUACUUUAAACACGCACACUGCAAUAAUGUAAAAGUGUAUUUACAACGAUUGGUGGUGGGUGCAACGAAGAAAGGGUAAAAAUUAACAAAAGACCCGCGAACAAGAUAAGUAUAUACUUACCUAUCUAUCGCAGGGCGCGGUUCGUCUAUAGGCAGUUACACCACAAUGAUUCGUUACUGCCGCUAGACUUUCAAGAUUAAUCAUUCGCCACCAUGGUGGUAGCUUAGAUAAAAGUAUCAUUUGCACAGUCAUUUAUUAAGUAUAAGUUUCUUUCUCAACGUCGAACAAAACUUUACAUCGUUAUUCUUAUGUUAUGGUGUAGAAGAUAAGGCCGAGACGCGCCACCGUAGCUGGCAUAAUUUCAAUAAAGGCCAACUUACAUAGUUCGAUGCUUCUAUUAAAAUAACUAUUUUCAUUCGUUUUCCAUGAAAAAUCAGAUUCCGAUUCUGAAACCUGUUUGGCUUUUGUUACGUAGGUACUUCUACUCACCUAUCUACGUCUACAAAUUGAGCCAAAAAUCUUCACCCCUCCCCCACCAUAGCUAAAAAAACACGUUUUUUGCCACCUGAAAUGUGUUGAGAAAGGGUGGGCUUUUCCACAGGAUUUUUCAUUGCUGUGGGGGGGGGGGGGUAAAAUUGACGAAAGAAAACUUUGAACCGCCGUUACUCCGGACUGAAAAGUGGCAUACAAAAAAUCUUCUUGCCAAAAUGUGUAUUUUGAUGAGUACUUUUUUCCAACGUAAGAGUUGAAUGAAAAAAUUGUCUGCAACGUGCUCAUUUUUGUCAAAAACCGCUUGAAAUAUAUUUUUCCCACCUCCGGGCGGAAAGUACUACUUUCCACCCUCGUUUAGGAAAAAUGACUUCACUAAACUCAGAGAAAAAGUGAUUUUGAACUCUUUGUAAAAAAUGAGAAGGAAAUCGCAAAAUAUUGUAAAAUUUUCAGACGAAUUUUGAAAUUGUAUUAUACAUCUCCUACGUUGUUUGAAACAACCCAUCAUUUUCCAUUUAUCGUAUUUGCAAUACGAGAUAUUUAUUUAUACGCAUUUAUUAUACUUACAUUUGCUCAAUAUUUUUAUUAUGAAAAAUCAAGAUUUUUUUAUGAAACCCCCCCUCGAUUGUUAAUUCCUUUUAAUAUUACACUUCCUUGGGGUAUUACUUUUGAUACAAACAUUGAGUAACUAGACGGAUAGGUUCAAUCUUCUUGGGGUGUUUACUGAUGUGAAUUUGGAACCUUAGCCUUUUAAUAUGGUAUACCUUAUGUUUAAUACAAUAAUUCUUCUUUGGGGUUUUACAUGUCGGUAAUUCAGAGCAUGAUUCUUUAUAAUGUCGUUAAAAUUGUUGAUGCAUUUUACUCAUAAGUCAUAAGACUUCAACUUCUGAGCCAGGAUUUUCUCAAGGAGGGGGCAAAACCAGAUUUUUAGGCAUAAAAAAUCAAAAUGAGGAGUAAUUUUAUGGAAAUCCAUCGUGAUGUGUGAUGAUAUCAUGAAAAUGAAGGCAAAAUUAUUGCUCGAGCGAAGCGAGAGCGAAAAUUUUUAGAAAAAAUGGGUCCAAACAACAAAAAAACGUCCAUUUUUGCAUGUUUUCUUUCAAAUUUUCGUUCGCAAGGGGGGGGGCAUGGCCCCCUUCGCCUUCCCUUGGCUACGCCACUGAUCUCAGCUUAUGAGAAUAGGUAAUUGUUGGGUUUCUGUGUUGGCAAGUCCAGUUGCCUGUGUUAGUUGGAGAAAUCUGACUACAUCUGGAGCUGGAAUGUACAACGAGAACUUGACAAUACUUAUUUGAUGACUAAACAUGUAAUUCCUUCUGUCUCCUCUAUAACUCUCGCCAAUAUGGGAUACGGAGGGGCAGAGGGAAUGUUACAGACCAUUCAACAGAGUGCCAAUUUACAUGUUUCUGUGAUCUGUGUCCCAUUUCGGGGCUCGCAGGGGUUACCUUGUGGGUCACGAGUGGGGCAUAUGUCACAGUAAAUAUGGCCUUUUCCGUUAGUGGGGAGGAAGGGUAAUUACUCCAUGGGGGAACAACUGGUUAACGUUUGCACAACGCACAUCGGACUGGUUUUACCUACACUCUGUCUAGUCUACCAAUGUGCGUUCUUCAUCACAGUUGUAAUGUAGGUUUGGCUGGGAACAUUAAAUUGUACAAAAGCUGUAAGCUAAGUUAAUUUGUAAAUCAUAAAUGACGUUUAUGUUCAUCUAACGAAUUCGUGUUAAUGUUAAUGUGUUAUGUAAUAUUUAUUGAGUUGAUUGAUUAAUUACAUUUGAUUUGUCUGA